UGGGGAAUAUUGGACAAUGGGCGAAAGCCUGAUCCAGCCAUGCCGCGUGUGUGAAGAAGGUCUUCGGAUUGUAAAGCACUUUAAGUUGGGAGGAAGGGCAGUAAGCGAAUACCUUGCUGUUUUGACGUUACCGACAGAAUAAGCACCGGCUAACUCUGUGCCAGCAGCCGCGGUAAUACAGAGGGUGCAAGCGUUAAUCGGAAUUACUGGGCGUAAAGAGCGCGUAGGUGGUUCGUUAAGUUGAAUGUGAAAGCCCCGGGCUCAACCUGGGAACUGCAUCCAAAACUGGCGAGCUAGAGUAGGGCAGAGGGUGGUGGAAUUUCCUGUGGAGCGGUGAAAUGCGUAGAUAUAGGAAGGAACACCAGUGGCGAAGGCGACCACCUGGGCUCAUACUGACACUGAGGUGCGAAAGAGUGGGGAGCAAACAGG
Molecule: ribosomal RNA, 429 nt
Filed under: Pseudomonadota bacterium
Lineage: Bacteria; Pseudomonadati; Pseudomonadota
Description: Proteobacteria bacterium partial 16S ribosomal RNA
Rfam family: Bacterial small subunit ribosomal RNA
Source: RNAcentral